UACGGAGGAUUCAAGCGUUAUCCGGAUUUAUUGGGUUUAAAGGGCGCGUAGGCGGUUUGAUAAGUUAGAGGUGAAAUGUCGGGGCUCAACCCCGAAACUGCCUCUAAUACUGUUGGACUAGAGAAUAGUUGCGGUAGGCGGAAUGUAUGGUGUAGCGGUGAAAUGCAUAGAUAUCGCGCAGAACUCCGAUUGCGAAGGCAGCAUGCCGGCUCCACACUGACGCUGAGGCACGAAAGCGUGGGUAUCGAACAGG
This 253-nucleotide ribosomal RNA is filed under the name uncultured Rikenellaceae bacterium. RNAcentral's name for it is "partial 16S ribosomal RNA". It matches the Rfam family "Bacterial small subunit ribosomal RNA", at positions 524 to 776 of the family's 1533-position model. Lineage: Bacteria; Pseudomonadati; Bacteroidota; Bacteroidia; Bacteroidales; Rikenellaceae. The record is from RNAcentral.